GUCUUAUUGAUUAAUAAUUUUAAGUCUUGCCUGCCCUCUGUUUAUAUAAAUGGCCGCAGUAUUUUGACUGUGCUAAGGUAGCAUAAUCAUUAGUUUUUUAAUUGAAAGCUAGAAUGAAUGGUGGUAUGAAAAAAUAACUGUCUCUUUUAUAUAAUUAAAAUUUUAUUUUUAAGUAAAAAAGCUUAAAUAAAAUUAAAAGACGAGAAGACCCUAUAGAAUUUUAUUUAAAUUAGUUUUUAAUUUAUUAGUAAUUAAAAUUUAAAAAAUUAAUUUAUAUUUAAUUGGGGUGAUUAGAAAAUUUGUUAAUCUUUUCUUUAUAAACCCAUUAAUAUAUGAUUAUAUGAUUCAUUUUUAUGAUUUAAGAAUUAAUUACCUUAGGGAUAACAGCGUAAUUUUUUUUUUAAGUUCAAAUUAAAAAGAAAGAUUGCGACCUCGAUGUUGGAUUAAAUUAAUUUUUUGGUGUAGAAGCUAAAAUAUUAAGUCUGUUCGACUUUUAAAAUUU
This 502-nucleotide ribosomal RNA is filed under the name Donacia sp. JGZ-2004. Its description in RNAcentral is "partial 16S ribosomal RNA". The stretch from base 380 to 502 matches the Rfam family "Bacterial large subunit ribosomal RNA", at positions 2473 to 2596 of the family's 2925-position model. Lineage: Eukaryota; Metazoa; Arthropoda; Insecta; Coleoptera; Chrysomelidae. The record is from RNAcentral.